GGAGGCAUGGCUCAGCUGGUAGAGCAUUCGCUUCACAUGCGAGGGGUCACAGGUUCGAGUCCUGUUGUCUCCACCA
Molecule: transfer RNA, 76 nt
Filed under: Clostridium sp.
Lineage: Bacteria; Bacillati; Bacillota; Clostridia; Eubacteriales; Clostridiaceae
Also listed under: 6 other names
Description: tRNA-Val
Rfam family: tRNA
About the family: Transfer RNA (tRNA) molecules are approximately 80 nucleotides in length. Their secondary structure includes four short double-helical elements and three loops (D, anti-codon, and T loops). Further hydrogen bonds mediate the characteristic L-shaped molecular structure. tRNAs have two regions of fundamental functional importance: the anti-codon, which is responsible for specific mRNA codon recognition, and the 3' end, to which the tRNAs corresponding amino acid is attached (by aminoacyl-tRNA synthetases). tRNAs cope with the degeneracy of the genetic code in two manners: having more than one tRNA (with a specific anti-codon) for a particular amino acid; and 'wobble' base-pairing, i.e. permitting non-standard base-pairing at the 3rd anti-codon position.
Source: RNAcentral